CCUACGGGAGGCAGCAGUGGGGAAUAUUGCACAAUGGGGGAAACCCUGAUGCAGCGACGCCGCGUGAGUGAAGAAGUAUUUCGGUAUGUAACGCUCUAUCAGCAGGAACGAGACAAGACGGUACCUGACUAAGAAGCCCCGGCUAACUACGUGCCAGCAGCCGCGGUACUACGUAGGGGGCAAGCGUUAUCCGGAAUCACUGGGUGUACAGGGAGCGUAGACGGCUGAGCAAGCCUGAAGUGAAAGGCGGGGGCCCAACCCCCGGACUGCUUUGGAAACUGUACGGCUGGAGUGCAGGAGAGGUAAGUGGAAUUCCUAGUGUAGCGGUGAAAUGCGUAGAUAUUAGGAGGAACACCAGUGGCGAAGGCGGCUUACUGGACUGUAACUGACGUUGAGGCUCGAAAGCGUGGGGAGCAAACAGGAUUAGAUACCCCGGUAGUC
RNAcentral lists this ribosomal RNA (441 nucleotides) under uncultured bacterium. RNAcentral describes it as "partial 16S ribosomal RNA". It matches the Rfam family "Bacterial small subunit ribosomal RNA", at positions 338 to 795 of the family's 1533-position model. The record is from RNAcentral.